RNAcentral lists this ribosomal RNA (137 nucleotides) under uncultured eukaryote. RNAcentral's name for it is "partial 18S ribosomal RNA". It matches the Rfam family "Eukaryotic small subunit ribosomal RNA", at positions 1299 to 1458 of the family's 1831-position model. The record is from RNAcentral.
UGGUGGAGUGAUUUGUCUGCUUAAUUGCGAUAACGAACGAGACCUUAACCUGCUAAAUAGCCCGAGCCGCCCUGGCGGCACGCUGGCUUCUUAGAGGGACUAUCGGCUCAAGCCGAUGGAAGUUUGAGGCAAUAACA